This 373-nucleotide unclassified non-coding RNA is filed under the name soil metagenome. Its description in RNAcentral is "partial contains 5.8S ribosomal RNA, internal transcribed spacer 2, and large subunit ribosomal RNA". The stretch from base 1 to 121 matches the Rfam family "5.8S ribosomal RNA", at positions 35 to 154 of the family's 154-position model. The record is from RNAcentral.
GAUGAAGAACGUAGCGAAAUGCGAUAAGUAAUGCGAAUUGCAGAAUUCCAGUGAGUCAUCGAAUCUUUGAACGCACAUUGCGCCCUUUGGUAUUCCGAAGGGCAUGCCUGUUCGAGCGUCAUUAUCACCCCUCAAGCCCUCGGCUUGGUGUUGGACGGUUUGGUGGAGGCCCCCUCGGGGGCUCCUGCCCCUCCCAAAGACAAUGACGGCGGCCUCGUUGGACCCCCGGUACACUGAGUACUUCACGGGACACGUAUCGGACACAUGGGUUUACGGGACACGGUCUGCCUCCCCUCAGGGAGAAUCUUUCUAAGGUUGACCUCGGAUCAGGUAGGGAUACCCGCUGAACUUAAGCAUAUCAAUAAGCGGAGGA